AGGACUAACGCUGGCGGCGUGCCUAACACAUGCAAGUCGAACGAGGUAGCAAUACCUAGUGGCAGACGGGUGAGUAACGCGUGGUCAACCUACCUCUUAGUGGGGGAUAACUAGCCGAAAGGUUAGCUAAUACCGCAUACGAUCGUCGCGAGGCAUCUCGUGACGAUGAAAGGAGCAAUUCGCUAAGAGAGGGGACUGCGUCCCAUUAGUUAGUUGGUGGGGUAAUGGCCCACCAAGACUCCGAUGGGUAGCUGGCUUGAGAGAGCGACCAGCCACACUGGAACUGAGACACGGUCCAGACUCCUACGGGAGGCAGCAGUGAGGAAUUUUCCGCAAUGGGCGCAAGCCUGACGGAGCGACGCCGCGUGUGGGAAGAAGGCCUUCGGUCGUAACCACUGUCGAAGGGGACGAUAUUGACGGUACCCUUGGAGGAAGCCCCGGCUAACUACGUGCCAGCAGCCGC
RNAcentral lists this ribosomal RNA (463 nucleotides) under uncultured bacterium. RNAcentral's name for it is "SSU rRNA". It matches the Rfam family "Bacterial small subunit ribosomal RNA", at positions 26 to 518 of the family's 1533-position model. The record is from RNAcentral.